RNAcentral lists this transfer RNA (74 nucleotides) under Cabomba aquatica. RNAcentral's name for it is "tRNA-His". Lineage: Eukaryota; Viridiplantae; Streptophyta; Magnoliopsida; Nymphaeales; Cabombaceae. The record is from RNAcentral.
GAUAAUAUAAUUUUUAUGAAAAAUUAUAUUUUAUGAAAAUAUAAUAUAUAAUUAGAUUAUAUUAAUUAUAAUCU